AUGCUGUUUUCCAAUGUUUGUCUUUCCUUCCCUCCUCCCUUUUCAAACUCUUUGGGCCAAAGCAGACAGGAAAAAAUGGAAAUUGCAAAUCAGCCCUUGGAUCAUCCAGACGCAACCAAGCGGGACGGUUCGAGCGACAAUGAUCUGGAGAAUAAAGAUGAGAAAGAUCUUAAGCGGUUGAUUAUUCACCUGAGAGCCGAACUCAAAGAGCUUGCCCAAGUCAAUAAAUCCCAGAAGCGGCAACUUGAGUCACAAUCCACUGCGGCUGAAGGCGAAGGGCUCGAUCCCAAACCUGUGCCGCAGGUUAACACAGAGGUGGAAUUGUCCAAAGUGGAAGUCAAAGACACCGCGACACAGACGGCGGUGGCGGAAGGGAGCGUCGGGAGGCUCAGACACGAAGGCGAGAUCGCAACCUGGGGCGAUAAAGCGAAGUCGUCCCGAUUAAACGAAGAACGGCGGCAGAAGAGAGUCUCCACGAAGAGCAAGCAGCAGGAGAACCCCCUACGCUCGAGUAGAACAAACAAAAGCGAUCAUUGCCCCUCGUUCAAGAAAUCCCGCCUGCCCAUCCGACUGAAGCCCUCGAGGUCCUUGGGAAGCCUUUCCUCGGGUUCCUUCCCUCUGAAGCCAGACGUGCGCCUCCAGCAUCGCGUGUUCAACCUGGAUGAAGAUCUGAAAGGGCCGUGCGUCACGCAGCAGCCCCAGCCGCCUUGCGCACGACACCCCAGCGAAGCGGAAAGCUGGACGCAAGAGCUGGAUCGAAUGUUAGCGGGAGCCGAAUCGUUGAUCACGCUGGAUGGCUCCGAAGUGGAUACCUUCAUCAGUACUGAAUGCAAAGAGUCUGAGAAGGAUCCAAGCACAUGCCAAGAAACUGAAAUGACCAAAAUGGAGCCGGAUGUGUCGACUUCGAAAGAGCUCCAUCAAGAGGAAUUCAACCUCUGGAGUAAGCAGGAUGGAGAUAUGGCUACGACUGCAAGCGUGCUCUCCCUCAAGCUGAGUGGCACAACCCUUGAGAUGUUGGACUUCGAUGACGUUGAUGACGUCAAGCAGCUGAGGCAAAGAAUUAAAGAUCUGACGACCGAACUGGCAAAAUACCAUACAUUGAUGACCUGCUUUCCGGUCUCUGCUGAGCCACCCCCUCCCAGCUUUCACUCGAGCGCCGUCCAGAGCCACGAGGAGCUGCCCGCUGACGGUCACCUUCCUCCAACGCUGGAGGGCCAGAAGCCGGAGUCACAAGCUUUCACGGAGGCCCCCCAGCGAGUGGAAUAUGGUGUCCAGGUGGACGAUCUCUCUUCCCGCCUCUUAGAGGAACAGAACGAAGCAAUGGUGGAGAAGCUGAAGGAACUGCUCUCGGAAAACGAGGCCGAACUCGAGAAAGAGCAGAUCGCCAACAUGCACCUCCUGGACAAAGUAUACCGCCUUCAGAAGAAGCUCAAAGAAGUUUCACCGGAGGGGUAA
Molecule: long non-coding RNA, 1455 nt
Filed under: Anolis carolinensis (green anole)
Lineage: Eukaryota; Metazoa; Chordata; Lepidosauria; Squamata; Anolidae
Description: lncRNA (ENSACAG00000013674.4)
Source: RNAcentral